Musa acuminata AAA Group (dessert banana) is the source of this 1245-nucleotide long non-coding RNA. RefSeq lists it as uncharacterized. NCBI's taxonomy places the organism in Eukaryota, Viridiplantae, Streptophyta, Magnoliopsida, Zingiberales, Musaceae. The record is from RefSeq and is a predicted model, not a curated record. The transcript is spliced from 2 exons.
AUUGUUAUAGGAGGCGCGCCAUCGGUGUAACUUCCCCCUUCCUCGUUGAUGGCGGCGGCCCCCUUCCCUCACUCGCGAUCUUCGUCGUAACAGAGCCGCGCUGCCACAGCUCCAACCGAAAUCGCCGACGCAGCAGCGGCGUUGGUUCGGACAUCGCCCUCUGACUUCUCCCACCCCUCACCUAUUGUCGCUAGACCCUGAGAUUUUGGCAGCGGUCCAAGCUUUUCUUCCUUUCCUCUAUCUCUAUCUCCGUCGACCUAGAAUUUUUUUCUACUUAGUUACUUCACCUCCUCCAUCUCCAUCGACGUAGGAAUUUUUUUCGCUGCCCUGGGUGGAAUUGCAGGUCGCCAGCUGCAUCAUUCGUCCAAUUUCUUGUCGCUGCCGCACCUCUUCUCGCCGCUCGUCAGGACCAAUGGGAACAGGGCGUACGUCAUCGAUACUUUGGCCUUCGUACGCCGCACUUGUUAUUUGAUGUUGGCUGGCUUACGAGAAACAUUGACGAUAAGGGUUUCGAGUUGCGCUAUAGGUGUUUGUGUUUAUGUAGGUGAGGAGGUUGGAGGCGCAACAGGUGCCCUCCAAGGGGAUGCUAUCACGUCAGUCAUCACGAUAGUUUGGAGAAUGUUGCCCAGUCCUAGUCUCGAAGCCGAAGAUGCAGAAGAGCUGCGAGGUGUUGACGAGGUACGCCUUAGUUGCGUUGGUCUUGAGAGCUAUGAAGAGAGGUGCCACAGAGGUGAGAAAUUGGACGAAGUGUCACGAACGGUCGUCACGCACCCGUAACAACUCUCUUCAACGAACCAUUCGUCGUUUGUGUUUACAUGUACAGCUGUGUGGCAGCAUGUUUUGGCUUGAUUUUAUGUCAUUUUGUUUGUAAAAAUGUAAGUUCGAAUAAGUUGCAGCGCUAUAGUGCGACCACUCAUCGAAUCAAGCAAAACAGCCCAAAACAGUUUCAUUUUCUCGUGCCACGAGUUGCUUUCUGCAGCCCGUUGUUGCACGCGAAACGUCAGCCAUCUUAGCACCCUGGAACCACCCGGGUGGCACCAUGGUGUCACGGACAAACUUCUAAACAAGGUGUUCGAUGUAAUGCUUAUACAUGUCCGUGUCGUUUGGCAUGUUCAUGCCUUGUACAGCAGGUAGAGGGGCGGCCGAAGGCUUAAUAGUCCCAUGUUAGUUGGGUUGGUGGCCUCUUUUGGCUUGUAAAUAAAGGUUGUGUCAUGUGGAUACGUUCGAGAGCUUUUCGGUCUGUAA